RNAcentral lists this ribosomal RNA (472 nucleotides) under Asca sp. 4 NFS-2015. RNAcentral describes it as "SSU rRNA". It matches the Rfam family "Eukaryotic small subunit ribosomal RNA", at positions 557 to 1035 of the family's 1831-position model. The record is from RNAcentral. Lineage: Eukaryota; Metazoa; Arthropoda; Arachnida; Mesostigmata; Ascidae.
AAGUCUGGUGCCAGCAGCCGCGGUAAUUCCAGCUCCAAUAGCGUAUAUUAAAAUUGUUGCGUCUAAAAAGCUCGUAGUUUGAAAACUUGCCUUAGCUUACAAUCGACCCUUUCAGGGUCACCGUUUGUUGGGAGCAAAUAUGGAUGAUUGUAUUUGCCGACUUCAUUGUUUGGCUUAUAAACGUCAUCAAAUAUCACUUUGAUUAAAUUAGAGUGCUUAAAGCAAGUGUGUUACUUGGAUAUAAAUGCAUGGAAUGAUGGAAUAUGUUGUUGUUCUAUUUGUUGGUUUUUUGAACGAUGAAAUGAUUGAAAGGAACUGUUGGGGGCAUUCGUAUUGUUGUGAGAGAGGUGAAAUUCUUAGACCACAGCAAGACGAACUACUGCGAAAGCAUUUGCCAAGAAUGUUUUCAUUGAUCAAGAACGAAAGUUAGAGGUUCGAAGGCGAUCAGAUACCGCCCUAGUUCUAACCAUAA